GACGGGUAGCCAGGCUUGGAAGUGUGACCGCGGUUGUCAGCUCGUCCGCAGACGCGUCGCGAUGGUGGCCCGGGCGCGCGCUGUCCUGGCGGUGCUGCUGCUGCUCGCGGCUCAGGUGACCACGGCAACUGGGGAGACCCGGUGUAACCCGGGCGAGUAUGAGGUUACCAGCCUUUUCCGCUGCAGCAAACUCUGCCCGGCUGGCUACUACGUCAGCAAAUAUAUAGACCAGGACCACAGCGUCGGAGAAUGCAGGGAGUGCGAGUCUGGAACCUUCCAGGCCCACCCCAAUGAGGAGAGCAGCUGCAUGCCGUGUUCCCAGUGCCGGGAGGAUCAGGAGGUGGUGACUGAAUGCUUCCCAACUAGCGACCGGCUAUGCCAGUGCAAGCAGGGCAGCUUCUACUGCGACUCCAUGGACUGCACAGAGAGCUGCUUCCGGUGCAAAAGGUGUGAAGACAGCACCAUCCUUCAACCCUGCAACGCCACAAGGGAUACAGUUUGUGCCAUAGAAAUUCAUCCAGAGGCUGGAAACCUAAAGUGGUCGUGGAUCCUCCUUGCUGCGACCGUGGUCCUUUCCAUCCCCAUGACCAUCACCACCAUCAUUCUCUACUACAGAAGAAGAGAAAAUCCAAAGGAGCCAGGCAGCCCUUCACCCAGAAGCAUCCAGCCCAAGGAGAUGCAGAUGCCCAUGGACCUUGAGAGGGGCCAACCAACCCCUGGUGUGGAGACCAGGCCGCUGUCGGAGGUGGAGGACUCAGCCCUGGCGCCCGAGGCCAGGACCCGCCCGGGGCCCUCCAAGGACGCUGGGGAAAUCUUUGAGCUACAGGAGCUGGGGGCUGAAGGAAGUCCAGCAGCCCCAGAGCAGACACUACAACAGACUCAAGCUCCAGAGGCCCCCAGGCCCCCAGGCCAAGCAGAGGUGUCCCCUUCCCUCCACAGCCUGGAGCAGGCUGGAAGUUGGAGAUCAAGGUGUCGGCAGGGUCACUUUCUGCCGAGGGCUGUGAGGGAGAAUCUGGUCCAGGCGUCUCCCAGCUUCUGGUGGUUUCCGGCAAUCUGAGAUUCCUUGGCUUGGAGAAGCAUCCCCUCAUCUCUGCCUUCAUCUUCACGUGGCCUUCUCCCUGUGUCUCACAGGAAGACAAUCUGACCCUGCCCACACGUGAAUGGCUGCAAGAAAGAAGAAAUUAAUGCAUCCCCUCCUCAGGGAUGGUCAUUCCAGGAGAUGAUUUGCAAGACUGAUGGUCCUCUUUACUUUACUUCCCCACCGCAUUGCGGAGCACAGGCUCCGGACGCGCAGGCUCAGCGGCCAUGGCUCACGGGCCCAGCCGCUCCGCGGCAUGUGGGAUCUUCCCGGACCAGGGUAUGAACCCGUGUCCCCUGCAUCGGCAGGCGGACUCUCAACCACUGUGCCACCAGGGAAGCCCUAUUCUGCCUUUUUACUUUACUUCCCUGUCUGAUUCUAUAGAAGAAACUGGCAUCCAGACCCCGAUAAGGUGGUUAUUUUGAGACAUAAGUCUGCCAUCUUCUUGGUCUGCCGGCUUUCCAAAUAAAGUCGUAUUUAUU
Mesoplodon densirostris (Blainville's beaked whale) is the source of this 1560-nucleotide RNA transcript. It is a transcript of the gene named tumor necrosis factor receptor superfamily member 26-like, with no coding region annotated. Lineage: Eukaryota; Metazoa; Chordata; Mammalia; Artiodactyla; Ziphiidae. The record is from RefSeq and is a predicted model, not a curated record. The transcript has 10 exons.